AUUCUGUUAGUUAGGAUUUUCAUUUACAUUGAAAAUUAUUGUCGUGCAAUUCGAUAUGAUUUGAGGAUUGAGUUAAUUAUUUUAUUUGUGUUGUUUUAAUUUGUUGUUAUUAAAAUAUUUUAUUGUUUUUGUAGGUUUUAUUGAUGGAAUUAUUUUGAUUAUGAUAGUUUAGUACUGUGAAGGUAUUUAUGAAGAUUUGUGGAAGUUGAUUUAAUUUAUUGUACCUUGUGUAUUAGGGUAAAUUAAUUAUUAAUUAAAUAAUUUAUUGUUCUCGAUUCUGAAAGAGUUAAUUAGUUGUUAUUUAGUUAAUGUUGAAUAAAUAUUUAUAAUUUCUAAUUGGUAAUGAAAUGUUAAUCGUUUUUGGUUAUAUCUGGUUUCUUAAGAAAUAAAUAGAAUUUUAUGUUAAUUGGUUAUGUUAUUUUUUUUUGAAUUAAUAUAUAAAUUGGUGUUUAUGAUAUGGGGGUUUAGCUUUAUAUUAUUAAAUCAUAAGUAGUGGGUUGUUAUAGAAAAAAAAGAUUUAAUGGAUUUAAUGGUGAUUAUUUAUUGGAGGAUGUUGAAAUGAAAUUUAUUUAAUUGGGUAAUAUUGAUUGACUUUGAUUUUAUUAUUGGGAUAAUUAUUUUAAUAUGUAUUUUGAUAUAAGUAUGAUUUAAUUAGUAUAUUUUUAUUUAAUGUGAUGAUAAGUAUUUAAUAAGGAAUUAGGCAAAGUUUAUAUUCACUUGUUUAUCAAAAACAUCUUUUCUUGAUUGAAUUUGAAAUAUAACCUGCCCACUGAUUGUAUUUAAAGGGCCGCGGUAUUUUGACCGUGCAAAGGUAGCAUAAUAAUUUGUCUUUUAAUUGGGGGCUGGAAUGAAUGGUUGGAUGAGAUAUUAUCUGUCUUAUGUUAUAAUUGAUAUUAGAAUUUAAUUAUUAUGUGAGAAAGCAUGGAUGUAUUUAUGGGACGAGAAGACCCUUUAGAAUUUUAUAAUUUUGGAUAAAAUUAUGAUUAUUAUUUAUAUUGGUAGUUAUUGGGAAUUAUUUUGUUGGGGUGAUGUAAAAAUAUAAUUAACUUUUUGUGUAUGUGUAUAUUUAUUUUUAGUUUUUGGAUCCUUUAUUGUGAAUAUAAGAUUAAAUUACCUUAGGGAUAACAGCGUAAUAUUUACUGAGAGUUCAAAUUGACGUAGAAGAUUACGACCUCGAUGUUGGAUUAAGAUUUAUUUUGGGUGUAGAAGCUUAAUAAUAUUUGGUCUGUUCGACCAUUAAAAUCUUACAUGAUCUGAGUUCAAAUCGGUGUGAGCCAGGUUG
Molecule: ribosomal RNA, 1282 nt
Filed under: Malaccina discoidalis
Lineage: Eukaryota; Metazoa; Arthropoda; Insecta; Blattodea; Blattellidae
Description: 16S ribosomal RNA
Rfam family: Archaeal large subunit ribosomal RNA (bases 1121-1281)
Source: RNAcentral